RNAcentral lists this ribosomal RNA (497 nucleotides) under uncultured bacterium. RNAcentral's name for it is "partial 16S ribosomal RNA". It matches the Rfam family "Bacterial small subunit ribosomal RNA", at positions 28 to 507 of the family's 1533-position model. The record is from RNAcentral.
GAUGAACGCUGGCGGCGUGCCUAAUACAUGCAAGUCGAGCGAACAGACUCGGAGCUUGCUCCUCUUGCGUUACCGGCGGACGGGUAAGUAACACGUAGAUAACCUACCUAUAAGACUGAGAUCCCUUCGGGAAACCGGAGCUAAUACCGUAUAAUAUAUUGCACCGCAUGGUUCAUUAGUGAAAGACGGUUUUGCUGUCACUUAUAGAUGGAUCAGCGCCGCAUUGGCUAGUUGGUGAGGUAACGGCUUACCAAGGCGACGAUGCGUAGCCGGGCGGAGCGCGGGAUCGGCGACACUGGAAAUUAGACACGGGCCAGAGUCCUAAGGGAGGCAGCAGGCGGGAGUCGGCCGCAAUGGGCGAAAGCCUGACGGAGCAAGGAGGCGCGAGGGAUGAAGGUUUGCGGAUCGUAGGACGCAGUUAUUAGGGAAGAAUAAAUGUGUAGGUGACUAGGCACGUCGUGACGGUACUGAAUCAGAAAGCCACGGCUAACUACGUG